AGAGUUUGAUCUUGGCUCAGGACGAACGCUGGCGGCGUGCCUAAUACAUGCAAGUCGAGCGAGCUUGCCUAGAUGAUUUUAGUGCUUGCACUAAAUGAAACUAGAUACAAGCGAGCGGCGGACGGGUGAGUAACACGUGGGUAACCUGCCCAAGAGACUGGGAUAACACCUGGAAACAGAUGCUAAUACCGGAUAACAACACUAGACGCAUGUCUAGAGUUUGAAAGAUGGUUCUGCUAUCACUCUUGGAUGGACCUGCGGUGCAUUAGCUAGUUGGUAAGGUAACGGCUUACCAAGGCAAUGAUGCAUAGCCGAGUUGAGAGACUGAUCGGCCACAUUGGGACUGAGACACGGCCCAAACUCCUACGGGAGGCAGCAGUAGGGAAUCUUCCACAAUGGACGAAAGUCUGAUGGAGCAACGCCGCGUGAGUGAAGAAGGGUUUCGGCUCGUAAAGCUCUGUUGGUAGUGAAGAAAGAUAGAGGUAGUAACUGGCCUUUAUUUGACGGUAAUUACUUAGAAAGUCACGGCUAACUACGUGCCAGCAGCCGCGGUAAUACGUAGGUGGCAAGCGUUGUCCGGAUUUAUUGGGCGUAAAGCGAGUGCAGGCGGUUCAAUAAGUCUGAUGUGAAAGCCUUCGGCUCAACCGGAGAAUUGCAUCAGAAACUGUUGAACUUGAGUGCAGAAGAGGGGAGUGGAACUCCAUGUGUAGCGGUGGAAUGCGUAGAUAUAUGGAAGAACACCAGUGGCGAAGGCGGCUCUCUGGUCUGCAACUGACGCUGAGGCUCGGAAGCAUGGGUAGCGAACAGGAUUAGAUACCCUGGUAGUCCAUGCCGUAAACGAUGAGUGCUAAGUGUUGGGAGGUUUCCGCCUCUCAGUGCUGCAGCUAACGCAUUAAGCACUCCGCCUGGGGAGUA
This 915-nucleotide ribosomal RNA is filed under the name uncultured bacterium. RNAcentral's name for it is "bacterial SSU rRNA". It matches the Rfam family "Bacterial small subunit ribosomal RNA", at positions 8 to 882 of the family's 1533-position model. The record is from RNAcentral.